RNAcentral lists this long non-coding RNA (1622 nucleotides) under Ananas comosus (pineapple). RNAcentral describes it as "long non-coding RNA (ACOM_LNC002307)". The record is from RNAcentral. Lineage: Eukaryota; Viridiplantae; Streptophyta; Magnoliopsida; Poales; Bromeliaceae.
AUUUGGCAUGUUCUUUUCAUGUUCGUCUGGAAAAAUAGUUUUUUGCUACCUAUAAGGCGAUUAGAGGUGGAAAAUCUCUUAUGAGGAAUGAGACGAACUGCAAAGUUUUGAAAGUUGGUAUGGCGAAGAUUCGAAUGCACGAUACAGUUGUGAGAAUGCUGACAAGUAUGCGGCAUGUUCCUAGGUUGAUGCAAAAUUUGAUCUUGUUAGGUGCGUUAGACUCGAAGUGUUGAAAAUUUUUUAAGCUUCAAGUGGAGCUAUAAGGGUCCGAAAGAGAGAUUAGGUCAUGUGCGAGGCGAACUAGUGUUGGAACUUAUACGUUUUAAACAAAAGCACGGUCAGAAUGAAAGGAAAAGUAGUUAGGUUCCAAAAGAUCACGGAGAUGCAGUUGCUGGAGAUGCAGCGGUGGAUGUGGCAAUAUCGAGCGGAGGAGACAAGCUCAAAGUAGACCUUGCAUGGUGAUUUCGAUUGCAGCAGUUGAAGACUGAAUAUUGGAUUCGCAUUAUUCUUAUUACAUUACUCCAAACAUGUCUUUGUUUGAUACUCACAAAUCUUGUGAAGGUAGGAGUGUUAUGAUGGAUAAUAACACUAGCUGCAAGAUUCACUACAGGAAAUACUUUAUUUAACGAAAGGAUAAACCGUCGUUAUAAACACAUAAUUCCGUCGUUACUAUUCAAUAACGACGGACAAUUUAACCGUCGUGACCCGUCGUAAAAGCUUCCGCCGUUAAAAACAGUUAUGACCAAAAUCAACCGCCGGUCGUUAUAGAUCACUAACGACCAAAUCAUUUGUCGUCGUUAUUUAGUAACAUUAGUAACUACUCUAUUUUACAUUAACGACCAAUUCUACCAUCGUAACAGAUAUUAUGAAAAGUAUAAUUAUCAUAUUCAUUGUGUUAAUAACGACCAAACAUUUCGUCGUUAUUAUAACUAACGACUACAUAUUCGGUCGUUAAAAGCAUAUCACAAGCUAUAAAAGAAGAUUAUAUAACAACGACCACUCUCCCUGUCGUUAAUAAUAUACAUAUUGCAUUUGAGAUCAUAAUUUAUUUUUAACCAAUUAUUAUUUUUAAUCACAUAAAUACUUGAAAUACACAAUAAUAUAAAUACAAAUAUACACACACAUAUAAACAAACUUACAACAAAUCCACAAUUUUUAGAUGUAUGAUAAAACUUCAUUAAUAAUUGAAGUAAUUAGCAUCCACAAUAUUCAUAUUUUUUGUCCAAAACAUUCAUCUAUUACAUAUAGUUUCAAUUCCAUCACACCAUUACAUAUAUAGUCAACAUUCACCAAAAGAAAAACAAAGUACUAAAUAUCAUCAUUACAUAUAUAGUCAACAACUAUCAUCAUUUCUCCAAAAUGGGUCCGCUUAGAAACAAAAAAGAGAGCUUGCAAUUCAUUGUCUUUUCUUGUCCUAAAAAUCACGAUGAACUACCUACAAAAAAGAAAAUGGUGUAAAAGUUAAAACAAUAUAAAAGUAAAUCAUGCAAAUAGAUUUUGAACAACAUAGCAAAUAAACAACUCAUAAAAUCUAAAACAACUUUUGUAUACCACUAUAAACCUGCAAAAAUUUUGCAAAUCAAUAUAAAUAAGAUUACAUUGUUUAUCUUUCGGAUGAAGGA